CUUGUACCUUAGAAGUCAGAGCAUUGGUGCGUAAAGCCAAAGGUCCCGGGUUCGAUUCCCGGCAAG
This 66-nucleotide transfer RNA is filed under the name Agrilus planipennis (emerald ash borer). It matches the Rfam family "tRNA". Rfam says of the family: Transfer RNA (tRNA) molecules are approximately 80 nucleotides in length. Their secondary structure includes four short double-helical elements and three loops (D, anti-codon, and T loops). Lineage: Eukaryota; Metazoa; Arthropoda; Insecta; Coleoptera; Buprestidae. The record is from Rfam by way of RNAcentral.